This 462-nucleotide ribosomal RNA is filed under the name uncultured bacterium. RNAcentral describes it as "partial 16S ribosomal RNA". It matches the Rfam family "Bacterial small subunit ribosomal RNA", at positions 28 to 507 of the family's 1533-position model. The record is from RNAcentral.
GAUAAACGCUGGCGGCGUGCUUAACACAUGCAAGUCGAACGAAGUUUUUCCUUCGGGAGCAACUUAGUGGCGGACGGGUGAGUAACGCGUGGGUAACCUGCCCUGUACAGGGGGACAACAGCUGUAAACGGCUGCUAAUACCGCAUAAGCCCUUAGCACUGCAUGGUGCAUAGGGAAAGGGAGCAAUCCGGUACAGGAUGGACCCGCGUCUGAUUAGCCAGUUGGCAGGGUAACGGCCUACCAAAGCGACGAUCAGUAGCCGAUCUGAGAGGAUGUACGGCCACAUUGGGACUGAGACACGGCCCAGACUCCUACGGGAGGCAGCAGUGGGGAAUAUUGCACAAUGGAGGAAACUCUGAUGCAGCGACGCCGCGUGAGUGAAGAAGUAUUUCGGUAUGUAAAGCUCUAUCAGCAGGGAAGAAAGUGACGGUACCUGACUAAGAAGCACCGGCUAAAUACGUG